RNAcentral lists this ribosomal RNA (440 nucleotides) under uncultured bacterium. RNAcentral's name for it is "bacterial SSU rRNA". It matches the Rfam family "Bacterial small subunit ribosomal RNA", at positions 338 to 770 of the family's 1533-position model. The record is from RNAcentral.
CCUACGGGAGGCAGCAGUGGGGAAUAUUGGACAAUGGGCGCAAGCCUGAUCCAGCCAUACCGCGUGGGUGAAGAAGGCCUUCGGGUUGUAAAGCCCUUUUGUUGGGAAAGAAAUCCAGCUGGCUAAUACCCGGUUGGGAUGACGGUACCCAAAGAAUAAGCACCGGCUAACUUCGUGCCAGCAGCCGCGGUAAUACGAAGGGUGCAAGCGUUACUCGGAAUUACUGGGCGUAAAGCGUGCGUAGGUGGUCGUUUAAGUCCGUUGUGAAAGCCCUGGGCUCAACCUGGGAACUGCAGUGGAUACUGGACGACUAGAGUGUGGUAGAGGGUAGCGGAAUUCCUGGUGUAGCAGUGAAAUGCGUAGAGAUCAGGAGGAACAUCCAUGGCGAAGGCAGCUACCUGGACCAACACUGACACUGAGGCACGAAAGCGUGGGGAGCA